Molecule: long non-coding RNA, 484 nt
Filed under: Olea europaea subsp. europaea
Lineage: Eukaryota; Viridiplantae; Streptophyta; Magnoliopsida; Lamiales; Oleaceae
Source: RNAcentral
UUUAGUUUUGAUAGUAUUAUCAGAUUUUAAACUACAGAAUUCAGCUUAUUCAGUUUAAAGAAUAAAUAUUUUAGUUUAUAUGUCUGUGAAAAGAAAUUUUAUGCUAUAUGUCGGUUUUCAGAAGAUUUUAUGAAGGGAAAAUUAUAUUUUUACAAAUAUCCACUCACUGAGUUAUAGGCUCACAUUUUUAUCACUAUUUCUCUUAUCAGAUAGUAGCUGAGUUGAGCACUACUGGGCCAGUUGAUCUAUCAAGUUGAGCCAUAGAUUGUGAAGCAUUGUAUGAAUCAUCUUUUCAGUUUAAUAGUUCAUAUUUUGGGAUAGACACCUCUUUUGGUCAGAAAUUAGUUCCAUGUGUUGGGCUUGCUAUGUUUUGUCUAUAUAUUAUGAAUUUUGGGUACUGUGGUUUAGAAAUUGUUGCAAAAGUCGAAUUGCCAGUGUUGUAUUUGAAUAGUUGAUAUUUUGAGGGGACGGUGUAUCCUGUUUU